This 89-nucleotide transfer RNA is filed under the name Bacteroidota bacterium. RNAcentral describes it as "tRNA-Ser". It matches the Rfam family "tRNA". From Rfam's summary of the family: Transfer RNA (tRNA) molecules are approximately 80 nucleotides in length. The record is from RNAcentral. RNAcentral also lists the same sequence under 4 other names. Lineage: Bacteria; Pseudomonadati; Bacteroidota.
GGAGAGGUGCGAGAGUGGCUGAAUCGGGCGGUCUCGAAAACCGUUAGGUCCGGCAACGGGCCUCGUGGGUUCGAAUCCCACCCUCUCCG